This 845-nucleotide transfer RNA is filed under the name uncultured Synechococcus sp. Its description in RNAcentral is "partial contains 16S ribosomal RNA, 16S-23S ribosomal RNA intergenic spacer, and 23S ribosomal RNA". The stretch from base 284 to 356 matches the Rfam family "tRNA". Lineage: Bacteria; Bacillati; Cyanobacteriota; Cyanophyceae; Synechococcales; Synechococcaceae. The record is from RNAcentral.
UUGGAUCACCUCCUAACAGGGAGACAACACAAUGAUUUUGAUGCCUGAGUAUUUUUAUUCUUAGGCCGAAAUCCUGUCACCUUAGGUCGAUCGGUACCUCAGCUUUGAAGUUAAGAAUCAGCAGCAAUGUUGAUUGCUUGAUGGAGAUUCUCAGUUCCUAAACUUUGUCUAGGUCACACCCCAAAAGGGAUGUGACUCCUGGGCCAUUAGCUCAGGUGGUUAGAGCGCACCCCUGAUAAGGGUGAGGUCCCUGGUUCAAGUCCAGGAUGGCCCAUUCGGUGUUGGGGGUUUAGCUCAGUUGGUAGAGCGCCUGCUUUGCAAGCAGGAUGUCAGGAGUUCGAGUCUCCUAACCUCCACUGACCGAACUUUAUCCCCGCUCCAUGUUAUGGAGUUGAGCUCGAUUGGAGUGUGAUUUAGAUGUGUCCGCUGGAUGACCCCAGCUUCCUGUCAUUCCAAGUUUUAGGUUAAAAGCCUUGAAUUUGGUUGAUAAGAUGUUGGGCUCAGAUCAGAUGAUCAAGUGAUUGAUGAUUUGAUUUGAAGUUCUAGCAGAACCUUGACAACUGCAUAGGUGAAGUCUGGAAAAACAAAGCAUCUUACAGAUGCAUUGUUUUGAGUCUGAUCUUCUGAAAGGAAGAUUAGAACCAGAACAAUGAAAAUUCUUUUGAGCAAGAGCCGAGACUCUUGAAUGUUCUUUGAUUCGUGUCGAGCGAAUCAGAGUUUGAUCUUGUUUUUAGCAAUAAAAACUUGAGAAUCUGCUUUCAACGGCGGUAAGCGUUCAAGAGGUUAAUUGGUCAAGCUACAAAGGGCUCACGGCGGAUACCUUGGCACACAGAGGCGAUGAAGGA